Molecule: ribosomal RNA, 253 nt
Filed under: uncultured bacterium
Lineage: Bacteria
Description: partial 16S ribosomal RNA
Rfam family: Bacterial small subunit ribosomal RNA
Source: RNAcentral
UACGUAGGGGGCAAGCGUUGUCCGGAUUUAUUGGGCGUAAAGAGCGUGUAGGCGGCCAAGCAGGUCCGCUGUGAAAACUCGAGGCUCAACCUCGAGACGUCGGUGGAAACCGUUUGGCUAGAGUCCGGAAGAGGAGAGUGGAAUUCCCGGUGUAGCGGUGAAAUGCGCAGAUAUCGGGAAGAACACCAGUGGCGAAGGCGAGUCUCUGGACAUUUCCUGACGCUGAGGCACGAAAGCCAGGGGAGCAAACGGG